Molecule: ribosomal RNA, 952 nt
Filed under: uncultured Methanobrevibacter sp.
Lineage: Archaea; Methanobacteriati; Methanobacteriota; Methanobacteria; Methanobacteriales; Methanobacteriaceae
Description: bacterial SSU rRNA
Rfam family: Archaeal small subunit ribosomal RNA
Source: RNAcentral
UAAGCCAUGCGAGUCGAACGAAUUUAGAUUCGUGGCGUACGGCUCAGUAACACGUGGAUAACCUACCCUUAGGACCGGGAUAACCUUGGGAAACUGAGGAUAAUACUGGAUAGGCAAUUUUUCCUGUAAUGGUUUUUUGUUUAAAUGUUUUUUCGCCUAAGGAUGAGUCUGCGGCCGAUUAGGUAGUUGGUUAGGUAAUGGCUUACCAAGCCGUUGAUCGGUACGGGUUGUGAGAGCAAGAGCCCGGAGAUGGAACCUGAGACAAGGUUCCAGGCCCUACGGGGUGCAGCAGGCGCGAAACCUCCGCAAUGUGAGAAAUCGCGACGGGGGGAUCCCAAGUGCCAUUCUUAACGGGAUGGCUUUUCAUUAGUGUAAAGAGCUUUUGGAAUAAGAGCUGGGCAAGACCGGUGCCAGCCGCCGCGGUAACACCGGCAGCUCUAGUGGUAGCAAUUUUUAUUGGGCCUAAAGCGUCCGUAGCCGGUUUAAUAAGUCUCUGGUGAAAUCCUGCAGCUUAACUGUGGGAAUUGCUGGAGAUACUAUUAGACCUGAGACCGGGAGAGGUUAGAGGUACUCCCAGGGUAGAGGUGAAAUUCUGUAAUCCUGGGAGGACCGCCUGUUGCGAAGGUGUCUAACUGGAACGGUUCUGACGGUGAGGGACGAAAGUUAGGGGCGCGAACCGGAUUAGAUACCCGGGUAGUCCUAACUGUAAACGAUGCGGACUUGGUGUUGGGGUGGCUUUGAGCUGCUUCAGUGCCGAAGGGAAGCUGUUAAGUCCGCCGCCUGGGAAGUACGGUCGCAAGACUGAAACUUAAAGGAAUUGGCGGGGGAGCACCACAACGCGUGGAGCCUGCGGUUUAAUUGGAUUCAACGCCGGACAUCUCACCAGAGGCGACAGCUGUAUGAUAGCCAGGUUGAUGACUUUGCUUGACUAGCUGAGAGGAGGUGCAUGGCC